ACAGUACUGCUCUCAUAACCUUCUCCGCUGUUGAAAAACUUCUCCGCGAGAAGCGGUCAUGAUUCGCCAUUGUCAAGUUAUCAAGCUCACGAGGAAUGCGAUCCCAGGUUGGUCUGAUUGGAUAUAUGAUACGUCUGGGACACGAUGUUCGAGUUGGCACAGGCUAGAAUCGAUUGGGAUGUCGGAAGGAUGCUUGAUAUACUCUUGACUGAUAUUAAUUGUUACUGGAGGCGCCACCGCAUCAAUUAUUAGUCGCGACAAGACGAAUUCAAGCGCAUGCAAGUUAUUUCAUGGUUUUGUGUGCAUCAGCUUGCAGCAAGCAGAUCCCAGACGUUGACUGGCGGUAGGGGAUGUCUGGUAUCUACUUGCUGCGAUCUGUUUCAGACGGGCUUGACUCACGGGGUAUUUACAGUAUUUAUUACAUUGGAUGGCGUUUCGUCACGCUCCGAAUGCCGAGGGAUGUAUGAAAUGAUCUACUGCAACAAGCAGGUGAACCAGGUGUACUCCAUUUACGUUUCCACUCUUUCUUGCUGAUAUAUGCGAUGGAGGCCUGCACAUGAUCAGUGAAAAUGUCGAUGUUCAGACUGGAGUGUCUAGCAAGGCGGUCCGGUUCGUAAGAUGCUCCUGUCACUGAUACUUUAUUUCCUGCAGAUCCUUCGUGUAUGAACAGGAGGCAUAUUUACGUUCCUGGAUGUCUACUGCCAUGGCUUCACUGUGAUCCUGCAGUCUACUCACAUCGAUAUGUGCAGGAGACAAGAGACAAACACGCUUGGUAGACAGUAGCUGAUCGAAUCGAUAUCGUGUUACCCGCUUUGAUUGCUAAGAAGAAUUGCUCCCGACGAUGAUGCUGCCACUUGUAUCUUAUUGCCUUGCACAUGCGUACAUGAAAUGUUGUGCUUUAGGUCAUUCAUCGCCAUGAGAUACAUGGAAUAUUGUGGAAAGACACUUCAAACUAAUUGCAUAUUUCAGUUUUCCGUCAUCCUAAGUUGCAACCAACUAUGCAUUGCAACGAGCAAUUAAUAACCUUGGUGAUUGAAGUAUAGGAUAAGCCUGUUAUGUCUCACUAGGUAAUGGGAUUCAGGGAUGAAGAUAUGUGGACAUGAGUAGCUUAUCCCAUGGACCUUAGAGCCCACUAAGACCCUAAACAUAAAGGGUUUUCUAUCUUAGUUUUGCCUUAGUCAUUGAAUUAAUUACUCAAGGAUUUCAUCAG
This 1210-nucleotide unclassified non-coding RNA is filed under the name Apopellia endiviifolia. RNAcentral describes it as "pri-pen-miR8186". Lineage: Eukaryota; Viridiplantae; Streptophyta; Jungermanniopsida; Pelliales; Pelliaceae. The record is from RNAcentral.